Molecule: non-coding RNA, 72 nt
Organism: Phrynosoma platyrhinos (Desert horned lizard)
Lineage: Eukaryota; Metazoa; Chordata; Lepidosauria; Squamata; Phrynosomatidae
Source: the annotation of a GenBank genome assembly
GCCAGCAUGGCCUUGUUGUUUGAGUGUUGGACUGAGACUCUGGAGACCAUGGUUCAAAUCCAUGUUCAGCCG